Molecule: ribosomal RNA, 444 nt
Filed under: uncultured bacterium
Lineage: Bacteria
Description: partial 16S ribosomal RNA
Rfam family: Bacterial small subunit ribosomal RNA
Source: RNAcentral
CCUACGGGUGGCAGCAGUGGGGAAUAUUGGGCAAUGGAGGAGACUCUGACCCAGCCAUGUCGCGUGAAUGAAGAAGGUCUUACGAUUGUUAAGUUCUUUAGUCAGGGCAGAAGUCAAUGACGGUACCUGAAUAAUAAGCUCCGGCUAACUACGUGCCAGCAGCCGCGGUAAUACGUAGGGAGCAAGAGUUGUUCGGAAUUACUUGGCGUACAGGGUGCGUAGGCGGUUGUACAAGUUAGAAGUGAAAUACCCAGGGCUCACCUGGGGUGCUGCUUCUAAAACUGGAUGACUUGAGUGCAGUAGAGGUUAGUGGAAUUCCUGGUGUAGCGGUGGAAUGCGUAGAUAUUAGGAGGAACACCAGAGGCGAAGGCAGCUAACUGGACUGCAACUGACGCUGAGGCACGAAAGUGUGGGUAGCAAACAGGAUUAGAUACCCCAGUAGUC